GAUCCAAAAAUAAAAGUCUGCUUUUGCAAAGAAACGAGGGAGAGUGGAGUUCUUGCAUGAGCUUUUCUUGAAUUGUGCGGACAUUCCAAGAGGCUUGCAAUGCUGGUGAGAAUUGCUGAUAAUCUUCAGUUGACUUCGGAGUUGAGCUAUAGCCUUUUGUAGAUAGUGUCUCUGUCUACCUGCCUUGAUGUUCUUUCAAUGAGGCUGUUGCUGAACACAUCAUGUGGAUUCUUCUGGUGAUGCUUACUUCAGUAUCAGUUAGUAUCUGUGGAAGCUGCUACGAUCUCUGAGUAUCAUGUCAACCCUGGUAUUUUACUUCAUUUCAAUAUGGUGAUCCUUGCUAGGGCUGGCACAAAAUUGCAAAAGAAGGGCAGGAGAUCCUAGAAUCUGGAAAAUAGAAUGACCAUUAAAUAUCAUUUCAUCUUUGAAUUUAGAGUUAAUCUUGUUAGUGCUUGCAUGACCACGUUAGUCACAACAACUCACAGCACAGGCAAUAAGACAAAAUUAUAUAUAAGAUGCUUAAUUUCCCAAAUUCAAUUUCAACUAAUUAUGUUCUUGAUUGAAUGCUUUCUCUAUAAGGCUUUGGAUUCAUCCAUGAACCUGCAGGUAAAACAGCAUCCUUUUUUUAAUUUUCUAACUUUAAGUGUAUAGAUAGUUUCUAUUUCUUCAGUUUUUUUAAAAAAAAUUCUCUGUUCCUUGGGAUCCAUUCAUGUAGCUUACCUUGCUUAGUUCAGUCAUUGGCUAUCCUUUGUGUUAGAACUAGGUCCUCCAUUGAUUCUAAUUGUGAACUUGGGUUUUGAAGGACUUCUGCCAUCCAUUUUCCCUGUUAUGCUGUUCUCCGGCUGAUGAGCUUCAGAAGUUAUUAUUCAAAGUGGAAAGUAGAUUAACUAUGAUUUCCAAUUAGAUUAACUAUGAUUUCCAGGCUAUGUCUGCUUAUAUAUGUGUGUGUGUGUGUGUGUGUGUGUGUGUGUGUGUGUGUGUGUGUAGCAGAUAAGAAUACAUAGUUACUCUUGCUUCAAUAUUCAGAAGCAAGUCCUCUUCUCUUUCUGAAUUUCAAUAACAAAAGUAGCUUUUUUCUAAGAAAACCUUUUGACUUCUUUGGUUUCUUACCAUUUUACCUACUAUAAUUGUACGUUUGACAGUGUAAAGUUUGCAGUCCUUGGUUAUUUUCUGGAGUGAUAAGAUGAGGCGGUGUCUAAAUUAUAGGCUUGCUGUGAGCUUUUCCUGUUCUUGUUGAUCUCAUGCUUGCAGGAAUCUAAAACAUGGCAAAUUUAUUACUAAAAUCAGAUAGUUGCCUCAACCACAUAACGAAAAAGAAGUGUAAUUUGACUUAUUCUUCCUGAAAUUUGCAGGAUUUUUCCUACCUUUCUCUUCUGUAGACCCUUCAAGGCUCCGCCAUGUGCCCUAGUUGAAAGCAGUCAUAUGUAUCAGCCUGUGCCAUGCCGGUAUGUCGUCUAAGAUGUUUACUGGCCGGGCAUGCUCUAACAUGGGUGCUUGAUAGGAGACUAUAAUUGUACUGCCCUGCUUGUUCUCAAUAGGAAACUGGCUGAUGCUCAAGACUUUGGUAAUCACUACAUUCGAACUUCGAAGCUGCUGUUUACAAGGCUUAGAGGAGCAGAUAUACCAGAAUCCCUAGUGUUGAAAUGAUGAUCUUUCCAGCAAGCUUGCGGCUCCGAUGAAUACUCGUCUGAAAAAAAUCGUCGAUAUCCACAAAUUCAGCUCAAGCUCGUACGCAAGCAAUAAAACUUGAAUGCUUGAAAUUCUAUAGCUUUGUUGUGGAUUGCCAUUUUAAAUUCGUGCAUUUGUUUGACAAAACAAAAUACGACAACGAGAUCUUUUAAAUAUCUGAAAUUUGACUUC
This is a long non-coding RNA of Populus nigra (black poplar), 1860 nucleotides long. RefSeq lists it as uncharacterized. The record is from RefSeq and is a predicted model, not a curated record. NCBI's taxonomy places the organism in Eukaryota, Viridiplantae, Streptophyta, Magnoliopsida, Malpighiales, Salicaceae. The transcript has 4 exons.